AAAAUAUAAACCUUUACAUCAUAGAAGAUUCUUGAGAGGAGUCGUGUCUAAUCAAGCGUGCCGCACGUACUUAAAUGUGGGACUGGAUUCAAAAUGUUGGAUUGAAUCUAGUGGGUGGGGUAGAAAUCAAAUUCAUAGACAGAGACUCAGAGAGACGAAGGGAGGAGCCUGAAGAUAUCUUUGGUUGUGGUGGCGGUGGCGGUUGCGGUGGUGGUGGUGGUGGGGAAUCUUCAUUAGAUAGGCCAGGGUGAAAGACAUUAAAUAACUUGAUUUACAGAGACAAGACAGGGAAUAUGGCUAAAGGUCUGCUAUGGGCAACAGCCGAGGAUUUGGCAAGGAAUAGAGGAAGAGUCCUUUCUCUAUAUCGUCAGAUAUUAAGAAGCCUCAAUUCCCCCAAACUUCCCAUGAACUUAGCAGCAAGGUUGGCCAAGAAAGCAGAGGCUCGUGCUAUCUUCAUGCUGGGCGCAGAAGAGGAAUCCCUUCACAAUAUUGAGGACCUAAUUGAUACCGGAGAAUAUGCUCUUUCCCUCUUAAGAAAAGGCGAAAUCCCUAAAUACAUCCAAUGAGUGCACUGCUGAUUCCUGAGCAUCCCUCUCAUGCUAUACAUAAGUUUGCUGAUUUGGUAGUUUUUAUUUGUUUAUGUCAACAGCUGUACAAGGAAACACGGGAGAGGAAAUGUAGCUUUUAGGGGAAUUUAUUUGUUUGUUUAUGUCAUACAUUCUAGGAACUGAAUAAGAAUAAUAAAAAAAAAUUGGAGUUGAAUGUUUCGCUUUCCAUUUCAUUAUUGGCUAAGAUUCAACACUAUCAGUUGGGGAAAACGGACAGUACAAAAUUGGAGUUCAAAGUUUGGCUUUCCAUUUCAUUAUUGGCUAAGAUUUAACACUUGGAAUUCUGUUAAAUGCAGGAGUACAGAGUAAGGAAUCUUGGAUAAAUUUAUUUAACACAAGCCGACUACCGCGCUCGAAUCGAAUGCCAUCUUGGAAGCUGCUAUUGUGCUUUGACGACGGGAAAAUUCUUGUGGAUUAUGAAUUCGAGGACUUGCUUAUAUUGGAUCCAACAACUUAAGCGGCUAGAUCAGUGGAGGUCCGUGAUAUCCCUAUGGGCGAUAAUCGAGGGAGUUAUGUGGAGACCAUAGCCUCUCUUGGCUCUAAUACUUAUCUGGAAAGGCAGAUUACAGAUGGGACCGUGAAGAAUCCGAAACGACGACGAUUGAGGGGUGGAAGACAUCAGACAACUUGAUUUACAAAGAGAAGACGACUAUUUCAUUGUUGCUAAGGAAUAUGGUCAAGGGUCUGAUAUGAGCAACAGCCGAGGACUUGGCAAGGAAUAGAGGACAAGUCCUUUCUCUAUACAUUAGUAUCUCUUUACAUUAGUCCAACAUGAACUUAUUGGUAAACUAAUAUAACCAAGGGUUCUAGAUAUUAUGAAUCUUAAUGGUGGGCUACUUAUAUAAGAAAAAGGAGAAAUGUGCUAGAAAUAAGUUCCCCCGAAAAAAAUAUCUUCCCCCGGAUAAGAUAGUUGAGGCCGCAGAUUUUUCUAAAUUAUACUCCCUCCGUUCCAUUUUACUUGAUGUU
This is a long non-coding RNA of Papaver somniferum (opium poppy), 1574 nucleotides long. RefSeq lists it as uncharacterized. The transcript has 3 exons. The record is from RefSeq and is a predicted model, not a curated record. NCBI's taxonomy places the organism in Eukaryota, Viridiplantae, Streptophyta, Magnoliopsida, Ranunculales, Papaveraceae.